ACGUUUUCGCAACGCUAUUUUUACGAUGGAAUGUCACCUCGUACAGAAUAUUCACGGUUGGUUGGCAUGUAUUUCAAUGAUACAUGAUGCGAUAAUGUGUUUACCUUAUUUGCUUAUUUAUUUUCUUAAUGUAAUAACUUGUGUUUUAGCCGUAAUCGUCUAAAUACCAGCAGUGCCAUAAUUUAUUUACAAGAGAAGCCAUAUUUAUUUGUGUAUUGGCGGUCUGCAACACGAGAUUGCCUGUGAACAUAACAAACGUUUUGAUUGGUCGAUCCACUGACCGGAAAAUUAUAAAUAGAAGGUUGACGAAACGAACUUUAGAUUUAAUCUCACCGCCUGCAAGAGCAGUCGGAAUUUAUGCUGUCUUGAUGUCCUUAUAAUUUAGUGUGAAGGUUUUGAAUGUUUUAAGAAAACUAAACCUUCUUACACAUGGCAAUUGUUUGUUUUGAAGAAGACGACCUUCGACCUACGGGAAAGUCCCGUCAGCUGUCGUUCCACUUAGUCAACUUUCUAUAAAUACGACGAGAGAGGUUUUCUGGAAAUCUACUUUCACUUUAGCAGAGAGAAACCUUUAUGAGAUGAUUACGGC
RNAcentral lists this long non-coding RNA (589 nucleotides) under Mytilus galloprovincialis (Mediterranean mussel). The record is from RNAcentral. Lineage: Eukaryota; Metazoa; Mollusca; Bivalvia; Mytilida; Mytilidae.